CGGCAGCACGGGUGCUUGCACCUGGUGGCGAGUGGCGAACGGGUGAGUAAUACAUCGGAACAUGUCCUGUAGUGGGGGAUAGCCCGGCGAAAGCCGGAUUAAUACCGCAUACGAUCUACGGAUGAAAGCGGGGGACCUUCGGGCCUCGCGCUAUAGGGUUGGCCGAUGGCUGAUUACCUAGUUGGUGGGGUAAAGGCCUACCAAGGCGACGAUCAGUAGCUGGUCUGAGAGGACGACCAGCCACACUGGGACUGAGACACGGCCCAGACUCCUACGGGAGGCAGCAGUGGGGAAUUUUGGACAAUGGGCGAAAGCCUGAUCCAGCAAUGCCGCGUGUGUGAAGAAGGCCUUCGGGUUGUAAAGCACUUUUGUCCGGAAAGAAAUCCUUGGCUCUAAUACAGUCGGGGGAUGACGGUACCGGAAGAAUAAGCACCGGCUAACUACGUGCCAGCAGCCGCGGUAAUACUGAGGGUGCGAGCGUUAAUCGGAAUUACUGGGCGUAAAGCGUGCGCAGGCGGUUUGCUAAGACCGAUGUGAAAUCCCCGGGCUCAACCUGGGAACUGCAUUGGUGACUGGCAGGCUAGAGUAUGGCAGAGGGGGGUAGAAUUCCACGUGUAGCAGUGAAAUGCGUAGAGAUGUGGAGGAAU
Molecule: ribosomal RNA, 647 nt
Filed under: Burkholderia sp.
Lineage: Bacteria; Pseudomonadati; Pseudomonadota; Betaproteobacteria; Burkholderiales; Burkholderiaceae
Description: bacterial SSU rRNA
Rfam family: Bacterial small subunit ribosomal RNA
Source: RNAcentral